UUGACGGGACCCGCACAAGCGGUGGAUGAUGUGGAUUAAUCGAUGCAACGCGAAAACCUUACCUACCCUUGACAUGUCCGGAAUCCCGAAGAGAUUUGGGAGUGCUCGCAAGAGAACCGGAACACAGGUGCUGCAUGGCUGUCGUCAGCUCGUGUCGUGAGAUGUUGGGUUAAGUCCCGCAACGAGCGCAACCCUUGUCAUUAGUUGCCAUCAUUUGGUUGGGCACUCUAAUGAGACUGCCGGUGACAAACCGGAGGAAGGUGGGGAUGACGUCAAGUCCUCAUGGCCCUUAUGGGUAGGGCUUCACACGUCAUACAAUGGUCGGUACAGAGGGUUGCCAACCCGCGAGGGGGAGCUAAUCCCACAAAGCCGAUCGUAGUCCGGAUCGCAGUCUGCAACUCGACUGCGUGAAGUCGGAAUCGCUAGUAAUCGUGGAUCAGCAUGUCACGGUGAAUACGUUCCCGGGUCUU
This 470-nucleotide ribosomal RNA is filed under the name uncultured Rhodocyclaceae bacterium. Its description in RNAcentral is "bacterial SSU rRNA". It matches the Rfam family "Bacterial small subunit ribosomal RNA", at positions 910 to 1382 of the family's 1533-position model. Lineage: Bacteria; Pseudomonadati; Pseudomonadota; Betaproteobacteria; Rhodocyclales; Rhodocyclaceae. The record is from RNAcentral.